RNAcentral lists this ribosomal RNA (253 nucleotides) under uncultured bacterium. Its description in RNAcentral is "partial 16S ribosomal RNA". It matches the Rfam family "Bacterial small subunit ribosomal RNA", at positions 524 to 776 of the family's 1533-position model. The record is from RNAcentral.
UACGGAGGAGGCAAGCGUUAUCCGGAAUUAUUGGGCGUAAAGCGUCCGCAGGUGGCGAUUCAAGUCUGCGGUCAAAGACUGGGGCUUAACCCUGGAAAGGCCGUGGAAACUGAAUAGCUAGAGUGCAGUAGGGGUAGAGGGAAUUCCCGGUGUAGCGGUGAAAUGCGUAGAGCUCGGGAAGAACAUCGGUGGCGAAAGCGCUCUGCUAGGCCGUAACUGACACUGAGGGACGAAAGCUAGGGGAGCGAAUGGG